This 74-nucleotide transfer RNA is filed under the name uncultured Chromatiales bacterium HF0200_41F04. RNAcentral's name for it is "tRNA-Ile". It matches the Rfam family "tRNA". Rfam says of the family: Transfer RNA (tRNA) molecules are approximately 80 nucleotides in length. Their secondary structure includes four short double-helical elements and three loops (D, anti-codon, and T loops). Further hydrogen bonds mediate the characteristic L-shaped molecular structure. tRNAs have two regions of fundamental functional importance: the anti-codon, which is responsible for specific mRNA codon recognition, and the 3' end, to which the tRNAs corresponding amino acid is attached (by aminoacyl-tRNA synthetases). tRNAs cope with the degeneracy of the genetic code in two manners: having more than one tRNA (with a specific anti-codon) for a particular amino acid; and 'wobble' base-pairing, i.e. permitting non-standard base-pairing at the 3rd anti-codon position. Lineage: Bacteria; Pseudomonadati; Pseudomonadota; Gammaproteobacteria; Chromatiales. The record is from RNAcentral.
CCGGGUCUGUAGCUCAGUUGGUUAGAGCGCACCCCUGAUAAGGGUGAGGUCGGUGGUUCAAAUCCACCCAGACC